RNAcentral lists this transfer RNA (84 nucleotides) under Candidatus Iainarchaeum sp. RNAcentral's name for it is "tRNA-Leu". It matches the Rfam family "tRNA". From Rfam's summary of the family: Transfer RNA (tRNA) molecules are approximately 80 nucleotides in length. Their secondary structure includes four short double-helical elements and three loops (D, anti-codon, and T loops). Further hydrogen bonds mediate the characteristic L-shaped molecular structure. tRNAs have two regions of fundamental functional importance: the anti-codon, which is responsible for specific mRNA codon recognition, and the 3' end, to which the tRNAs corresponding amino acid is attached (by aminoacyl-tRNA synthetases). tRNAs cope with the degeneracy of the genetic code in two manners: having more than one tRNA (with a specific anti-codon) for a particular amino acid; and 'wobble' base-pairing, i.e. permitting non-standard base-pairing at the 3rd anti-codon position. The record is from RNAcentral. Lineage: Archaea; Nanobdellati; Candidatus Iainarchaeota; Candidatus Iainarchaeia; Candidatus Iainarchaeales; Candidatus Iainarchaeaceae.
GUGCGGGUACCGAAGCGGUCAAACGGGCUGGACUUAAGAUCCAGUGGCUUAGUGCCUUCGGCGGUUCGAAUCCGCCCCCGCACA